AACGAACGCUGGCGGCAGGCUUAACACAUGCAAGUCGAGCGCCCCGCAAGGGGAGCGGCAGACGGGUGAGUAACACGUGGGAACGUACCCUUCGGUUCGGGACAACCGAGGGAAACUUCGGCUAAUACCGCAUACGCCGGGAAACCGGGAAAGAUUUAUCGCUUUAGGAGGGGCCCGCGUCGGAUUAGCUAGUUGGUGGGGUAACGCCUACCAAGGCUAUGAUCCGUAGCUGGUCUGAGAGGAUGAUCAGCCACACUGGGACUGAGACACGGCCCAGACUCCUACGGGAGGCAGCAGUGGGGAAUAUUGCACAAUGGGCGGAAGCCUGAUGCAGCGACGCCGCGUGA
Molecule: ribosomal RNA, 347 nt
Filed under: uncultured bacterium
Lineage: Bacteria
Description: bacterial SSU rRNA
Rfam family: Bacterial small subunit ribosomal RNA
Source: RNAcentral